Molecule: small nuclear RNA, 316 nt
Filed under: Jaculus jaculus (lesser Egyptian jerboa)
Lineage: Eukaryota; Metazoa; Chordata; Mammalia; Rodentia; Dipodidae
Description: 7SK RNA (ENSJJAG00000004319.1)
Rfam family: 7SK RNA (bases 1-272)
About the family: 7SK was discovered as an abundant small nuclear RNA in the mid-70s but a possible function has only recently been suggested. Two independent studies have found that 7SK RNA binds the CDK9/cyclin T complex (known as elongation factor P-TEFb). P-TEFb activates transcription by phosphorylating the C-terminal domain of RNA polymerase II.
Source: RNAcentral
GGAUGUGAGGGCGAUCUGGCUGGGACAUCUGUCACCCUAUUGAUCGCCAGGGUUGAUUUGGCUGAUCUGGCUGGCUAGGCAGAUGUCCCAUUCCUGCCUCACUGCUCCUGAAGCUGCGUGCUCGUUGCAAGAGGACGGCCUUCCCUGCUCUAUGUAGAGGAGGAGUGGUCUUCAGUCAAGGGUGUACGAGCAGCUCCGCUAGAACCUCCAAACAAGCUCUCAGAUCAUCUUUCAAAAUUUUAAUCUUAAGAUUCCAGAAUGGGGCCCUAUUUAGAGAAAGAACCUGUGAAAGGGAAAAAAUUCAGGUUCUAUCUUC